CAGGUGGCAUCCGAUAAAGAUGCCGAGCCACCUCCGCUGGCUCCUCUCGACGUGGAUUAGCAGUGGCUCUACUCUGAGCUCCUCCCAAGUGACAUAGCUCCUCACCCUAUCUCUAAGGGAGCGCCCUGCCACCCUACGGAGGAAACUAAUUUCAGCCGCUUGUAUCCAAGAUCUCGUUCUUUCGGUCAUGACCCAAAGUUCAUGACCAUAGGUGAGGGUAGGAACGUAGAUUCACUGGUAAAUCGAGAGCUUUGCCUUUCGGCUCAGCUCCUUCGUCACGUCACUACGACGGACCGAUACAAUGACUGCUUUACUGCUGCCGCCGCACCGACCAGUAUCUGUCAUUAACUAUUUCAUCGGAAAUUUCCCCAUACAGACCAUUAUAAGUCACAGAGCCUCUUAUCCAUGCAGCACAUCUAAGCAAGCUAGAAACAAUAACAACACAUGUCCCAUUUGCUGUAUGCCCUUUCCUUCUCCCUCUGCUCUGACUCCAAGUAACGUUGGCCUCUUGAAUACCACAUCUUUUGGUAAUAAGUUGUUUAUUAAUUGAUUUUAUUAUUUCUAAUGACCAAGACAUUUUAUAAUUACUGAGAUGUGGCUGUCCCCAGGGAAUACUGUUCUCCUGAUUGAAGCUACCAAGAACCAAGUGCUGCCUUGGUAUAGAAUGUUGCAGCUUGACUCAUUACUGGAACAAAAAGCCAUCAUACAGGCACAUUACCUCUGUGUUUGCCUCCCUUCAUUGGCGCCCUGUUAGAUUUCAACUUGAUUUGAAAAAUAAAAUUAUAUUGCUUGCUUUUAAGGUCUCAGAUGGUCUUGCCCCUCAAAACAUUUCUGAUUUGCUGACCUGGUAUGUGCCCUCUCCAUAAUUAAGAUCUGUGGAUGGAGCCCUGCUGGUUAGUCCCAGGUCUUGGUUUAUGACUAGGGGUGAUUGGGCUUUUGCUAUCAGAGCCCCUACACUAUGGAGCUCUGUCUACUGAACUCACACCCACAAUAACUUUCUGGCUUCUUUUAAAUCUCAUUUUAUAACUUUAGCUUGUGAAGACUUUUGGAAAUGCUUGAUAUAUGUUUUAUUUGUUCUCUAAUUAUUCCUAUUUCUUUGAUCUUAUUUACUUUAGUGAAGAUGACACCUCCAGUGGGACUGAAAAUGGACAAAAAAAGACACAAACAGGAUGGACUUUUCAAGCUAGCUGGAAAGUCAAAUUCCAGUGGAUAGCAUACGACCCUACAAAAAACAAGGCAACAGCCCAAAUUUCCAGCUGUACCACCUGGAGGGCCUCCACAGAUAGAACCAGGACUGUGAAGCUGCAUCCCUGGCAGUGAAGCCUUCCUGACUGCAUUCAGCUGCUCAGGGGACCUUGUUUACUGUGGCAACAUCUACAGUGUCAAGGUGCUUGGAAGGAAGCUCAUCCCCUCUUUUCAACCACCUUUGCAGGGGUUUGGAUGAGUGCAGUGUCCCAGGGAUGGACUGAGUGGAAAACCUGGCAGAGUUUUAGAUGGGACUGAGGACUGAAACUGGACAAACACUGAGCAACCAGCAGGCCACCACCAUCAUAGCCCUGUGACAGAACCUUCUGCCAUAUGACAAGCAGCAAGUGGCAUUCACUGCAUGGCAGGCACAACGUGCGGCUUACAACAGGAUGCUUCAGGUGUUGUGAAAAAGAAAUCUGAAUUUACACUAGACACUCUGUGUCUUAGGAUCAACAGGAUCCCCUGCCAAGUGGCCAGAUUGUUAUCGUCGGGGUCUAUCUUUGUCAAACUCUGUAACAUCCAUAAAAAUCGGCCAGUUAUGCCCUGACAAGAUGGACUCAGAUUCUCAGAGACUUCAGCAAGAUCGGGCAGCUGGUCCUGAGUAAUGGUACAGUCAUGCAGAACACUACUCUGCAGUUGUUUGAUGUGAAUCAAACUCAUUUAGUGGCACAGCAAGUGACUGAAGAGGCAGGAAUGCAGUAUUCUGCUGCAAGGGGUCAACUUGCCUGCUCUAUUCCUGUUGCUGCUGUGCCUCUUCCACCUGAAGAGAUACACCCCACAGACUGCUUGUUCUAUCACUUCAUUACUGUAAUUAUUUAAUUACCAUAGUAUAUAACAGGUCUGGUAUUUCAGAAAAAAUCAGCAUGAGAGAAUUAACUUACAGUAUAUACUGAGAAUUAUUGUGCGUGCCUGUCAAAGUAUGUUGAUAUUGUAUGUAUGAGAUAUAUAUAUAUUAUUAGUAGAGCAGCCUGGCUUUAUUUAUUAUAUUUUGUAUUCAGUUUAUUUAUUGUAUUUAUUAUAUUUAAUCAUUUCAAUAAUUUCUUUGUGUGUG
This is a long non-coding RNA of Chelmon rostratus (copperband butterflyfish), 2299 nucleotides long. RefSeq lists it as uncharacterized. The transcript has 3 exons. NCBI's taxonomy places the organism in Eukaryota, Metazoa, Chordata, Actinopteri, Chaetodontiformes, Chaetodontidae. The record is from RefSeq and is a predicted model, not a curated record.